Molecule: ribosomal RNA, 471 nt
Filed under: uncultured bacterium
Lineage: Bacteria
Description: bacterial SSU rRNA
Rfam family: Bacterial small subunit ribosomal RNA
Source: RNAcentral
AUUGAACGCUGGCGGUAUGCUUAACACAUGCAAGUCGAACGGUAACAGGCCUUCGGGCGCUGACGAGUGGCGGACGGGUGAGUAACGCGUAGGAAUCUGCCUUAUAGUGGGGACAACGUGGGGAAACUCACGCUAAUACCGCAUACGCCCUACGGGGAAAGCGGGGAUCGUAAGACCUCGCGCUAUGAGAUGAGCCUGCGUUAGAUUAGCUAGUUAGUAGGGUAAAGGCCUACCAAGGCGACGAUCUAUAGCUGGUCUGAGAGGACGAUCAGCCACACUGGGACUGAGACACGGCCCAGACUCCUACGGGAGGCAGCAGUGGGGAAUAUUGGACAAUGGGCGAAAGCCUGAUCCAGCAAUGCCGCGUGAGUGAUGAAGGCCUUAGGGUUGUAAAGCUCUUUUACCAGGGAUGAUAAUGACAGUACCUGGAGAAUAAGCUCCGGCUAACUCCGUGCCAGCAGCCGCGGUAAU